This 77-nucleotide transfer RNA is filed under the name Actinomycetes bacterium. Its description in RNAcentral is "tRNA-Ile". It matches the Rfam family "tRNA". Rfam says of the family: Transfer RNA (tRNA) molecules are approximately 80 nucleotides in length. Their secondary structure includes four short double-helical elements and three loops (D, anti-codon, and T loops). Lineage: Bacteria; Bacillati; Actinomycetota; Actinomycetes. The record is from RNAcentral.
GCUCCUUUAGCUCAGUUGGUCAGAGCAUCCGACUCAUAAUCGGCUGGUCGUAGGUUCAAAUCCUUCAGGGAGCACCA